ACCCAAUUCACCUACACGUAUAACCCCUACCACCUGUGCAUUCUUCUAUUAGCCACGCUCACACUCCCUCAUGACUCACUUACCACCGCCAACCUCUACACACAAUACAACUUCAGCAAACAAAAUGGAAAAGAAAAGAAGAGAAAUCAGAGGAAGAGAAAUGAGAGAUGGAGAUCCAGAGAGUGAGGGAACCGCGAGGAAGAAGAGAAGGAGAAGGGCGUGGCGUUGGCGGCUGGGUACCGCUGCCGUUCAACUCUUCGUCGCACCGUCCACGUCGAGCUCGUCCCAUCACUGUCAUGUCACGAAGGAAGGGUCGCCGCCGUUCGUGCCUUGCCGUCACCAUUCGCGGAGGGAGAGGAAGCAAGUGCGCUAGAGGAGCUGUUGUCGCAGCCAUUGUUGCCGCCGCUGCCGCCGUGACCGCGGGCGUAGUCCGCCGUCGGGUCGUGUGCCACUGAUGGUGGUGAACCAAACGUCGCCCUUGAUGCUGGAGAAGAACCCCAGAGUUGCUGUUCUGCUUUCGAAUCCUCUCUUUCUGAAAUUCUCCGCCACUUUGCUUCUAAUAUCUGCUACAACUAGUGUUGGUGUCGAUGCUGUUUUGGGACUGUUGUAGUUGUUGCUGGUUCUGUGUGAGGUUACUGCUGCUGCGAGAUAGGAAGAAAAAAAAAGGGAGAUUGUCGCGGUUAUGGAUUUCUUCGAGUUUCGGUUAAUUGAGGUAGGGGAUUUGUUUUAAAAAUAAAUGUUUUAAGUUAUGAAUGCCAUUAAAAUUAAAUGAGUAACUGCAAAUGGUUUAUGGUUGCUUUGCGUGAAUAAUUGUUGGAAUUGAGUUGAAUCAUGGAUGUAGUUGGUGAUUGGUUUAAUGAUUUAAUGUAGUAAUUAUUGAC
Molecule: non-coding RNA, 881 nt
Organism: Arachis ipaensis
Lineage: Eukaryota; Viridiplantae; Streptophyta; Magnoliopsida; Fabales; Fabaceae
Source: RefSeq, a predicted model, not a curated record